UCCAGCCGCUCAGGCCGUGAAGUAAGAUGGCCGCGUAAGUUUAUACCGCGGGUUACGUGAAGGGGCGCGGCCAUCUCCUGAGAGACCCUCCUGGAAAGCAAGGAGCCUAAAGCUCAGUGGACAUCAAACAGUCGCUGGGGAGAGGCUGGCUGGAGUCUGGAGGAAGAUCUGGCCAAGGGACUUCCAGAGGCACCAAGAAACCUGGACUGGGGUACAGGCCAGAGAUGUGGAGGCUGAGAGGAUUCACCAUAUACAGAGUGGAGAACAAAACAGGCAGAUCGACUGAAAACACUGCUGAGGGGAGCAGUGGGGAAGCAGCCACAGGGAGGACUGAUUACCUCCUGCAGUACUGAAAACCAUGGCCCAGGGGUCAGUGGUAUUCAGUGAUGUGUCAGUAGACUUCUCCCAGGAGGAGUGGGGGUGCCUGGACCCUGUACAGAGAGCCUUGUACAGAGAUGUGAUGUUGGAGAACUACAGCAACCUACUUUCAGUGGGACUUUACAUUCCUAAGCCUCAAGUUAUCUCCCUGUUGGAACAAGGAAAAGAGCCCUGGAUGCUUGGCAGGGAGCUGACAAGAGGCCUGUGUUCAGAUCUGGAAUCAAUGUGUGAAACCAAGUUAUUAUCUCUAAAGAAGGAAGUUUAUGAAAUAGAAUCAUGCCAGAGGGAGAUAAUGGGACUUACAAAGCAUGGCCUUGAGUACUCCCGUUUUCGGGAUGUUUUGGAAUAUAGAAGCCACUUUGAAAGCCAGCUGGGAUAUCCAAAUGGGAAUUUCAGCCAAGAGAUACUCACUGAUGAGUACAUGCCCACACUCAUUCAACAGACAUUCUUCACUCUGCAUCAAAUAAUGAAUAAUGAACAGAAGCCUUAUGAAUGUAAGAAGUGUGGGAAAGUCUUUAGUCAGAAUUCACAAUUUAUUCAACAUCAGAGACUGCAUAUUGCUGAAAAAUCUUAUGAAUGUAAGGAGUGUGGGAAAUUCUUUAGUUGUGGCUCACAUGUUGCGCGGCAUCAAAAAAUUCACACUGGUGAAAAACCCUUUGAAUGUAAGGAAUGUGGAAAGGCCUUCAGUUGUAGCUCGUACCUGUCUCAACAUCAGAGAAUUCACACUGGUAAAAAACCUUAUGAAUGUAAGGAAUGUGGAAAGGCCUUUAGUUACUGCUCAAAUCUUAUUGACCAUCAGAGAAUUCACACAGGUGAAAAACCCUAUGAAUGUAAAGUGUGUGGGAAGGCCUUUACUAAGAGCUCACAGCUUUUUCAACAUGUGAGAAUUCAUACAGGUGAGAAGCCCUAUGAAUGUAAGGAAUGUGGCAAAGCUUUUACACAGAGUUCAAAACUUGUUCAGCAUCAGAGAAUCCACACAGGUGAGAAACCCUACGCAUGCAAAGCAUGUGGGAAGGCCUUUAGUAGUGGCUCAGCGCUUACCAACCACCAGCGGAUUCACACUGGUGAGAAGCCCUAUGAGUGUAAGGAGUGCGGAAAGGCCUUUACUCAGAGCUCACAGCUUCGACAGCAUCAGAGAAUUCAUGCUGGUGAGAAACCCUUUGAAUGUCUGGAAUGUGGAAAGGCCUUUACUCAGAACUCGCAACUUUUUCAACAUCAGCGAAUUCAUACAGAUGAAAAGCCAUAUGAAUGUAGUGAAUGCGGAAAGGCCUUUAAUAAAUGCUCAAAUCUUACUCGGCAUCUAAGAAUUCAUAGUGGCGAAAAGCCCUAUAACUGCAAAGAUUGUGGGAAGGCCUUCUGUAGUGGCUCAGAUCUCAUUCGCCAUCAGGGAAUUCAUACUGAUGAAUAAUGAAAAUGAAAACUCUUGUCACUUUCCUAAUAUUUUAUUUUUUAAAGAUUUAUUUCCUAUAUAUACAUAUUUUUUUUUUGUGGGACCCUCGCCGGUGGCGGGGGAACGAACCUCUCAACUGCUGUGCCACCAGGGGAAGCCCUAUUUCCUAAUAUUUUUAAACAGAGAAUUCCUGUUUGAUAGUUACUCUUUUUCACUGUUGUUUCUGAACUUUUUAAAUAUAAAUAUAUUUCACUCUAAAUUUUGAAUUCAAAUUCUAAAUUGACAUUUGCCUUCCGCCCAAACCCCACACUUACACGAAUGGCAGAUGUUCAGUAAUUCCUCUCUUAUUGUUAUUCUCUACCGUUUUGAUGAUACCUUCUAUUUAUAUUUGCAUGCGUUUCAGGGCUGUCUUUUCUGAUCUAUCUAUUUGUGCUUGCACCAAUAUCACACUGUUUAAAUUGUGUGAUUUUUUUUUUUAUGUUCCUUGUAGAAUUAUGACUUUUUGAAGUCAGUGUUCAUCUUUUUGUUUCAUUUCACGUAUUUAUAUUUUCUUAUUGUAAAACACUAUCAAAAAGCAAAGGCUUAUUUUAAUCUUAUCAGUUACAGAUAACUACUCUCAGAUGGUAGAGCAAAUCCUCUGAGCCUUUGAUUUUAAAGAAAGUCAUCAUGGUUCGCAUGUUGUGUGCUCACUUGCUUUCAUCAUGCCAAGAAAUUUGGUUGCCAUUUUAGUGAAUAUAUAUAUAUGUAUUAUUCUGAUGACAUUUAAUAACUUGAAAAUGAAUUUAUUUUUUGUGUUAUGGAUGCAUUGAAGUUUUUGCCGUUAUAGAUUCUGUUCUGAUUAAUAUGACCCAACAUUUAUUUCUGGGUGCUUGUUUUUUCUUUUAAAGCAUUUAUUCUAAUGGCUAAAAUCAUCUACAUUUUUUCCUUGUAAACUGUUUUCUUCCUUUUUAUUAACCCGAAUUCCAACCCCAUACCGCUGUUAUCACACUAUUGUUUAUUUUCUAGGUUUUUUUUUUCCUUUUUUUUUUUAAAGACUUACUUAUGCAUACAAGAGCUGGGGUGCAGGCCCAAGAUGCGAUGUUGAGGGUGAGAAGAUUCACCAGAGACAGAGAGGGGAGCAGAACAGGCAGACUGACCGAAGUACACUGCUGAGGGGAGCAGCGGGAGAGACAGGAGAGGUCUGCUGUGCCAUGUGGGUCACCUCCCUGGCCUGGGGUCAAACUAGUGCUGCAGCGAGUGUUGAUAGCUUCAUAGUGCUGUGUCUUAACCCCUUGCACCACCAGGGAGGCCCCCCCCCUUUUUUUUUUUACCUUUUAACAUAUGUUAAUGGCAUUUUACUUCUCAUGUAUCUUUAUAUAUAAUCUUGCUGUAUGUUUAGUUUGUUGUGAGAGUUAAAUGAAUUAAUAAAUGUAAAGUGCUUAGAACUGUUCCUAUCACGGUAAGGUUUUUUACUUUAUCAUUGGUACACUCAUUUUCAUAAUUAUUAUUUGUCAAAAAGAUUUUAGCCAUGUUGUUUAUCUUUGUAUAAGUCAAUGAAUUCAGUUAAAAAAAAGAAAUGUAUGUAAUCAGGAUAGCAAAGUUUUUCUACAUCAUUCUGCAUGGGAUCUCUAUAGGAAAAGAAAAAGUAUGUUUCUGUUGUCUUCAGACAUCAUCUUUUAUGCUGCUCAAAGACUAGUGUCAGUCUAAAAUCUUGUGACUAUAAUAAUAGAAAGUUCAAAGCACGGCAGUUGAAAGGCAGGAAGAGAUCAUAAUAUUUUCUUAGUAAUUUGUUCUCAAAAAAAGCAGAGCACAUUUGAUCACAAUGGGAGAAACAGUAACCAUAGGAUAUACAUUAAAUGUCUGAAUAUUCCAUGUCCUCAUGAUUAACAUGAGUUAAGAUUUGCAAUUAUAUUAAGUUUGCUUUAUUAUAACAAAUGUACAUUUGCUUUAUAGAUACAGCCUCUCAGCCUGAUAUUCUCUUCAGAGUGUGUUCACCGUCCCCAGCCUGUUGCCUUUCAGUCCCUCCAUUUCAUUUAUGUUCCGUACAGCACCAGGCCUGACUUGGGGUUACUGGAAAUUCUGUUAACAAUUAUUCCACAUUCAUGGAUAUGAAAUCCUUGGUGAGCUGUGUCACCGGGACUGGAGCUGGGUGCUGGACUGACCCUCCAUCCAGCUGACACCGUGGUGAUCUUCAUGGUCAUUUGCUAUUUCAGCAGGAAAUAUUUCUGCAAGAAAUUUGCUAUUAUCUUGCAAGAACAGCAGGAUGGACUUGUAACAAUGGGUCAAAACUACCCCUCCCCAUUUUACUUCAUUAUUAUUUUUAAAGAUAUAUCUAUUUAUGCAUACAAGAACUGGGGUAUAAGCCAGAGGUGGGAGCGGGAGGAUUCACUAGCGUCAAAGUGGGGAACAGAACAAGCAGACUGACCGAAAUACACUGCUGAGGGUAGCAGCAGGCCAGACAGAAAAGGUCUGCUGUGCUACAUGGGUCAGCUUCAAGGCUGGCCAGGGAUGGAAGUUGGAUCAAACUCGUGCUGCAGAGGUUGGGGAUAGCUUCACAGUGCUGUGCUUAACCCCUUGGGCCACCAGGGAGGGGCCCCUCCUGUUUUAAAUGAGAAAAAAAAAAAAAGCAUCUUUUGUUAAGUUAACCGGUUGUGUUUCAAAGCGCAGGCUCAGAAGAGUGAUCACUUCACUGUCCUCAAGAUGACAUCUUAUUACCUGGACCGAAAAUAGCCACGAAGACGGACAGACCUGUCUUCUGAGUUUGCCCUUCGCCAAGGAGAGCACUCGGGGGCCAAGGAAGAUGGCCACGGGGCUCCUGAGAACCAAAGAAGAGCUGGCGUGAGGGGAAGAGCCCUGGGUAGAAGAGAAACAGCAACUGCUGGGCCUCUAUCCAGGUAAGUGUGACUCAGGGUGGACUGAACUCUGCCCUUUGGUGGACACCACAGGAGGAGGCAUUUCUCAGAUGCUAGAAGGAAGCUCUUCUCUGGGUCUGCCAGGUCCCUGGGAAGGCUGCCUGGAGUGGCCUCUCUUCCAGACUGUUCUCCCCAGGUGAUGGAGGGACUUCCCUUGUUUCCUAGUUUCUUUUUUUCUUUUUUUAAAGAUUUAUUUAUGCAUACAAGAACUGGGGUGCAGGCCAGAGGUACAGGGGGUGAGAAGAUUCACCAGAGACAGAGUGGGGAGCAGAACAGGCAGAUCGACUGAAAUACACUGCUGAGGGGAGCAGCAGGCAAGAUAGGAGAGGUCUGCUGCACCAUGUGGGUCAGCACUCUGGCCGGGGA
This is an RNA transcript of Talpa occidentalis (Iberian mole), 5025 nucleotides long. It is a transcript of the gene named zinc finger protein 383, with no coding region annotated. The transcript is spliced from 9 exons. The record is from RefSeq and is a predicted model, not a curated record. Lineage: Eukaryota; Metazoa; Chordata; Mammalia; Eulipotyphla; Talpidae.